UCGUGAUGCCAUUGUAUCCCAAAGGA
This 26-nucleotide non-coding RNA is filed under the name Homo sapiens (human). The record is from RNAcentral. Lineage: Eukaryota; Metazoa; Chordata; Mammalia; Primates; Hominidae.